Molecule: long non-coding RNA, 502 nt
Organism: Poecilia reticulata (guppy)
Lineage: Eukaryota; Metazoa; Chordata; Actinopteri; Cyprinodontiformes; Poeciliidae
Source: RefSeq, a predicted model, not a curated record
CAAGCCUCGAAGCUGGGCUUCAUCGGACACGCCCCCUUUUUACUCGGUACAAACCUCGAAGCCUGGAUUCAGAUGGUCCAUCACCACCGGAUACAUCUACAAACAAGCAGAGAGCCACCCACAGUCGCCCACUCACCCCACAUCCACCUUGAGGUGACAGCCCCACUGUCACAUCAUGGCAGCUUGACUCUUUCUUCAGGCUCUUGGUGAAGGAACAAAAGCAGCAAAUAAACAAAACAUCACAGGAAGGGAAGUGGCAGCAGAAGGAUGAUAUUAAUACUUUUUUCUUCCCCUGCGAGAACCGCUGUCAGUCAAAUGGAGUUCGCUUCGUGUGCCGGCUUCCCACUUUGAUUUUCAGUCGACGUCCCUGCAGGUGGCCUUCCUUUUUUCAUGUAAGCAUGGCAACUGUCGUACCUAAUGACCACACAGAACAGACAAAUAUAAUCUGAAACUGUUACUUUGGGGACAUGAAAGACAAAUAAAAAAGAAAACAAGACAUGAA